Molecule: ribosomal RNA, 501 nt
Filed under: uncultured bacterium
Lineage: Bacteria
Description: partial 16S ribosomal RNA
Rfam family: Bacterial small subunit ribosomal RNA
Source: RNAcentral
GACGAACGCUGGCGGCGUGCCUAAUACAUGCAAGUCGAACGAACCGCGACUAAGUGCUUGCACUAAGUCAAGGUGAGUGGCGAACGGGUGAGUAACACGUGGGUAACCUACCUCAUAGUGGGGGAUAACAGUCGGAAACGACUGCUAAUACCGCAUAGGACAUAGGAUCACAUGAUCCAGUGAGGAAAGGUGGCGCAAGCUAUCGCUAAGAGAUGGACCCGCGGUGCAUUAGCUAGUUGGUAGGGUAAAGGCCUACCAAGGCGAUGAUGCAUAGCCGACCUGGGAGGGUGAUCGGCCACAUUGGGACUGAGACACGGCCCAAACUCCUACGGGAGGCAGCAGUAGGGAAUCUUCCGCAAUGGACGCAAGUCUGACGGAGCAACGCCGCGUGAGUGAAGAAGGUCUUCGGAUCGUAAAGCUCUGUUGUUAGAGAAGAACAGCGCAUAGAGUAACUGCUAUGCGUGUGACGGUAUCUAACCAGAAAGCCACGGCUAACUACGU